GUAAAUCUCCUAAUGGUGAGGAUUAUGAAUUGGCCAUUGCUUCCUGUUUCUUAUUUUGUUCCAUGUUUUUUAUGAACCUUAGAAGCAGAGAGAGGAGAGAGAGAAAGGGUUAAUUUUAGGGGUAAUGUGAUAUUUAUUCUUUAGUAAAUUGUGUAGAAGAUUGCUAAAUUAGGAGUUAAUAGGAUCAAAAUUGUCAAUUAUCUCAUAUUCUCUCAUAUUGUUUUGUGACGGACCAUAGGCUAAAAUUGUUUUGUGGCAAAGCGAUUUCCCACAGAUAAUAUCUGAAGUUUUUUGUCGGCUAUAAUUAGGUACCAGAGGUUUCAACAAAUUCGAGAAGCUGUGUUUAUUCCUGCGUUAUUUACUUAUUGGGCCUUCUGAAUAGGAGCCCAAAUCGAGGCAGUCAAGGCUCAAAUCCAAUGUCUAUCAUUAAGAACGUGGUACGUCGGUCUGGCUAAUGUCUCUCUCUCUCUGAGCGUUGUUCUCUCUCUCUCUCUCUCUCUCUUUAUGGCUGUAUACUAAAUUCGUAUUAUGCUUUGUAUAUUACUAUUAUUAUAAUUCUUCAUUGAAAACUAAAGUAUCAAAAUGGACCA
This 590-nucleotide long non-coding RNA is filed under the name Capsella rubella. RNAcentral describes it as "long non-coding RNA (CRUB_LNC003289)". Lineage: Eukaryota; Viridiplantae; Streptophyta; Magnoliopsida; Brassicales; Brassicaceae. The record is from RNAcentral.